RNAcentral lists this transfer RNA (72 nucleotides) under Marmota monax (woodchuck). RNAcentral describes it as "tRNA.Ser". It matches the Rfam family "tRNA". Rfam says of the family: Transfer RNA (tRNA) molecules are approximately 80 nucleotides in length. Lineage: Eukaryota; Metazoa; Chordata; Mammalia; Rodentia; Sciuridae. The record is from RNAcentral.
GGGAAUAUAGCUCCAUGGUAGAGUGCCUGCCUACUAUGCACGACACUCUGGGUUCGAUCUCCAGUAUUGUGG